GCGAGCGGAACCACAGAUUUACUUCGGUAAUGACGUUGGGAAAGCGAGCGGCGGAUGGGUGAGUAACACGUGGGGAACCUGCCCCUAAGUCUGGGAUACCAUUUGGAAACAGGUGCUAAUACCGGAUAAUAAAGCGGAUCGCAUGAUCAGCUUUUGAAAGGCGGCGUAAGCUGUCGCUAAGGGAUGGCCCCGCGGUGCAUUAGCUAGUUGGUAAGGUAACGGCUUACCAAGGCGACGAUGCAUAGCCGAGUUGAGAGACUGAUCGGCCACAUUGGGACUGAGACACGGCCCAAACUCCUAUGGGAGGCAGCAGUAGGGAAUCUUCCACAAUGGACGCAAGUCUGAUGGAGCAACGCCGCGUGAGUGAAGAAGGUUUUCGGAUCGUAAAGCUCUGUUGUUGGUGAAGAAGGAUAGAGGUAGUAACUGGCCUUUAUUUGACGGUAAUCAACCAGAAAGUCACGGCUAACUACGUGCCAGCAGCCGCGGUAAUACGUAGGUGGCAAGCGUUGUCCGGAUUUAUUGGGCGUAAAGCGAGCGCAGGCGGAAAAAUAAGUCUAAUGUGAAAGCCCUCGGCUUAACCGAGGAACUGCAUCGGAAACUGUUUUUCUUGAGUGCAGAAGAGGAGAGUGGAACUCCAUGUGUAGCGGUGGAAUGCGUAGAUAUAUGGAAGAACACCAGUGGCGAAGGCGGCUCUCUGGUCUGCAACUGACGCUGAGGCUCGAAAGCAUGGGUAGCGAACAGGAUUAGAUACCCUGGUAGUCCAUGCCGUAAACGAUGAGUGCUAAGUGUUGGGAGGUUUCCGCCUCUCAGUGCUGCAGCUAACGCAUUAAGCACUCCGCCUGGGGAGUACGACCGCAAGGUUGAAACUCA
This 870-nucleotide ribosomal RNA is filed under the name uncultured bacterium. Its description in RNAcentral is "bacterial SSU rRNA". It matches the Rfam family "Bacterial small subunit ribosomal RNA", at positions 57 to 903 of the family's 1533-position model. The record is from RNAcentral.